CUCUGAAAGCUGGGCAUAAGUGGCCCUAUCGGCAAGGCACUGAGUGGCCUUUUGAUACUAAAGCUGACGACUCUCUAAGUGUGCGGCCUUGAAGAGGAUCUCCUCAGCAUCGGCAGGGAUCUGGCCUCUGAGAGUUUUGAAUAGAGCCUUGGCUAAAUCAGAAUCAUCAACCAGUUGGGCUGUGUCUUGAUGGAGGAUGGCUGACAGAUCUUCCAGCUUUGCUCUAAGAUCUGCCGAUGAAAUUCCAACUGCUUGGGAAGAGCUUGCUUCCUCUCCUUCAUCCUCAGAAAUUUCGAUAGCAAAUGAGAACAGGCUGUCGGG
RNAcentral lists this long non-coding RNA (321 nucleotides) under Sorghum bicolor (sorghum). RNAcentral describes it as "long non-coding RNA (SBIC_LNC015935)". Lineage: Eukaryota; Viridiplantae; Streptophyta; Magnoliopsida; Poales; Poaceae. The record is from RNAcentral.